UACGAAGGGGAUGCUAGCUGUUGGUGAAUCACUGGGCGUAAAGCGCACGUAGGCGGAUCUUUAAGUCAGGGGUGAAAUCCCGAGGCUCAACCUCGGAACUGCCUUUGAUACUGGGGAUCUCGAGUCCGGGAGAGGUGAGUGGAACUGCGAGUGUAGAGGUGAAAUUCGUAGAUAUUCGCAAGAACACCAGUGGCGAAGGCGGCUCACUGGCCCGGAACUGACGCUGAGGUGCGAAAGCGUGGGGAGCAAACAGG
Molecule: ribosomal RNA, 254 nt
Filed under: uncultured bacterium
Lineage: Bacteria
Description: partial 16S ribosomal RNA
Rfam family: Bacterial small subunit ribosomal RNA
Source: RNAcentral